AAACACAACACUCCCAAUCCUCACACUGCUUCGCAACUAUUCAACGCUUCAAACUUCAAAUCACUGCCAUGGGAGAACAACUGCCGCCACUCAAAGCAGAGAUGUUUGACGACAGCGAAAGUCAUCGCCACGACGACGUUUUCAGCGACAGCAAGGACUCCGGACUGACUGAAGAGCCAACGGCGGUUCACAUCAAAGAAGAGCUGGAUGACGGCGCCGUUAACGGUUUCAUGGAUAAGAUGCCGAAACCGAUGGAAGGCUUGCAUGAGAUGGGUCCCCCUCCGUUCCUCAAGAAGACCUUCGAUAUGGUGGAGGACCCUAAGACUGACCCCAUUGUGUCAUGGAGUCAAACUCGCGAUAGUUUCGUCGUUUGGGACUCCCAUGAAUUCUCCAAAACCCUUCUUCCCAAAUACUUCAAGCACAGCAAUUUCUCCAGCUUCAUUCGCCAGCUCAACACCUAUGGCUUCAGGAAGGUUGAUUCAGACCGCUGGGAGUUUGCGAAUGAAGGAUUCCAAGGAGGGAAGAGGCAUUUGCUGAAGAACAUAAGGAGGAGGGGUAAGUACAACAGACUGCAUCAGGGAGCUUUCAAUAUGAUGAAGCCAGGCGUGGAGGCUGAAGUGGAGAAACUGAAGAAGGACCAUAACAUUUUGAAGGUGGAAAUUCUGAAACUGAGACAGCAGCAGGAGAAUUCGAAUGUUCAGCUCACUAAUGCUCAUGAGAGAGUUCGGCAUGCAGAGAUGAAGCAGUAUCAGAUGAUGUUUUUCCUCACAAGAAUGGCUAGAAGGCCCGCGUUUGUUGAGCAGUUAAUCCAAAAGGUUAGGAGGAAAAGAGAGCUUGAUGGUAACGACAUGGUUAAGAGGCCUAGAUUAAUGGGAAACCCCUGCUAUGUACCCUUCCCAAAGACCAUGGAGACAACCCCUGAUGUUGAUUAUAGACCCCAAAAUCAUAAACAAUUCCCUUCUAUGCAAACCGAGCUCGGUGGAUUUCUGUCUGAAACUGUGAACACCAGCAAGAUGGAGCACCCAACUCCCACUCCCUUGGAAGAUGAAUUGUGUAACCCUGUGCAAGGGUCAAGGGCCAAUGGUUGUUCUAGCGCAAAUGCGCCAGAUGCUUCUUCUGCCUAUCAUGUUAUGUCAGAAAAACUAAUGCGGGAAAAUUCUGUAGUUGAUGAAGAACUAGAUGUGAAUGACUCUAAUAUCUAUCUUGAAUUAGAGGAUUUGAUCACUAAGCCGUCGGAUUGGUCUCUUGGAUCUGCAAAUGGAUUGGUGGAACAAACUAGUUGAAGUGAUCUCACUAGUGUUGCUGUCCCUUGUAGUGGGUGCAAUUUCAGGUUGCAGUCAGGUUGCAGGAGUGUGUGUGCGACGCUCUGCUGCUAGUAAGAUGAAGAGCUGAAUAUUAUAUGGCUCUUCAAUUACCAGCUUUGAAAGUGCAGGACCUAGUUGCUCGCCCCAGCUUUUUAUAUGACGAAGCGAGAGUUUUCAUAUUUCAGUUUGUUUGUGUCAAAAUUGUUCAUAUGUUGUACAUCCCUUUCCUCCCUUGGCGUUCCUUUCCUUAACUUAGGGUCUUAAGUCAUAUCAGCAUGGUCCUUGGUGUAGUAAUUAACUAUGUAGGUUGUAAAUUUGUAUUACAGAACAUGGUUUAUAGUUCAAUACUUUGGGGUGUAUAAUUACGUUACUGUUCCGUUUCAGCCUUUGUCUAAUGUAGCCUGUCCUUUCCUUUGUCUCCUAGAAUUUGUAGUCAUCAGCUUCCUGAAUCACUUUCAGGUUUAGGCUUUCAUGAUAAUUUUGGAGACGUCUCUGUCUUCAGAGCUGUUA
This is a non-coding RNA of Vigna umbellata (rice bean), 1814 nucleotides long. The record is from RefSeq and is a predicted model, not a curated record. NCBI's taxonomy places the organism in Eukaryota, Viridiplantae, Streptophyta, Magnoliopsida, Fabales, Fabaceae.